RNAcentral lists this transfer RNA (141 nucleotides) under Microcaldota archaeon. RNAcentral describes it as "tRNA-OTHER". Lineage: Archaea; Nanobdellati; Microcaldota. The record is from RNAcentral.
AGCGAGGUAGGGUAGCCAGGAGUGCCCGCUGGACUGCUUUGAAGUGUAGUGCCUAGCUCAUAACCCGGAAGGAGCGUUUCUUCUCAUUCUGCAAGGAAAGCUCUUGGGUAAAGAUCGGAAGUUCAAAUCUUCCCCUCGCUA